RNAcentral lists this ribosomal RNA (235 nucleotides) under uncultured bacterium. RNAcentral describes it as "partial 16S ribosomal RNA". It matches the Rfam family "Bacterial small subunit ribosomal RNA", at positions 99 to 334 of the family's 1533-position model. The record is from RNAcentral.
CGGACGGGUGAGUAACGCGUGGGUAACCUGCCUCAUACAGGGGGAUAACAGUUAGAAAUGACUGCUAAUACCGCAUAAGACCACAGCACCGCAUGGUGCAGGGGCAAAAACUCCGGUGGUAUGAGAUGGACCCGCGUCUAAUUAGGUAGUUGGUGGGGUAACGGCCUACCAAGCCGACGAUCAGUAGCCGACCUGAGAGGGUGACCGGCCACAUUGGGACUGAGACACGGCCCAA